Molecule: ribosomal RNA, 253 nt
Filed under: uncultured bacterium
Lineage: Bacteria
Description: partial 16S ribosomal RNA
Rfam family: Bacterial small subunit ribosomal RNA
Source: RNAcentral
UACGUAGGUGGCAAGCGUUAUCCGGAUUUAUUGGGCGUAAAGGGAACGCAGGCGGUCUUUUAAGUCUGAUGUGAAAGCCUUCGGCUUAACCGGAGUAGUGCAUUGGAAACUGGGAGACUUGAGAGCAGAAGAGGAGAGUGGAACUCCAUGUGUAGCGGUGAAAUGCGUAGAUAUAUGGAGGAACACCAGUGGCGAAAGCGGCUCUCUGGUCUGUAACUGACGCUGAGGUUCGAAAGCGUGGGUAGCAAACAGG